AUGGAUGGUGGAAGUGGGCUGAACUUGUUGUAUGCUGACACAUUGAAAGGUAUGGGCAUUCCGAUGUCCCGACUGAGCACUAGUAACAUGAGCUUCCAUGGAGUUAUACCAGGGAAGAAGGACGAGUCACUCGGCCAGAUAGCUUUGGACGUGGUGUUUGGUGAUUCGAAGCAUUUUCACAAAGAAAAGUUGACGUUUGAGGUCGUGGAUUUUCAAAGUGCAUAUCAUGCCAUUUUGGGGAGACCAGCCUAUGCACGGUUCAUGGCUCGACCAUGUUACGUGUACCUCAAAUUGAAGAUGCCCGGUCCCAAAGGUGUGAUCACUGUCACCGGUGAUAGGAAAAAGGCAGAGGAGUGCUUUCAGAAGGGCUCCAAGAUUGCCGAUUCCCAAGUGACAGCGGUCGAGUUCGAAGAAUACAAGCAAAGCGCAGAUCCGAGUGACUUGCUGCGAUCCAAGAAGCCCGCCACAGAGUCUGCAUUCCAGUCGUCCGGUGAGACGAAGCCUGUUCACAUUCACCCGACCGACCCCGAAGCAGCUCCGACCCGCAUCUCUACAACACUCGACCCAAAAUAG
RNAcentral lists this ribosomal RNA (573 nucleotides) under Triticum aestivum (bread wheat). RNAcentral describes it as "partial small subunit ribosomal RNA". The record is from RNAcentral. Lineage: Eukaryota; Viridiplantae; Streptophyta; Magnoliopsida; Poales; Poaceae.